Molecule: long non-coding RNA, 1815 nt
Organism: Phocoena sinus (vaquita)
Lineage: Eukaryota; Metazoa; Chordata; Mammalia; Artiodactyla; Phocoenidae
Source: Ensembl
GGGAAUUUUACUUUUCUAGACAGCCAGAAUAAUUCCUCCCUUGUAGAUAUCAGAAGCAGACACUGGAAAAGCUGCUUUCUGUGUCUUUCUCAUAGUGCAGGGAUUCUGGGCUCCUUGAUAACUUGGCCAGCCAUCUUGAAUCAAAUGUUAGACAAGUAUUAUUGGCUCUAUCUACUCAGAGAUCAUUUCCAGCUGUUAGCACAACACGAAUAUGAGAUCUUCUAAGCCAAGUAAAGUUGAAAUUUUUAUUGGAUCCCCCAUACAAAGGUUGGAUGCAAUGAUUAAAAGGAAGUGUCAAUCCCCUGUGUUUUGAGGGUGACAGGAUACAGGUAUCAUAACACUGUUAGUGGAAAGGUAACUUGUGCAUACACUUUAGUAGACAGAUUAGCAAUAUGUAUCAAAACCCUCAAAAUGCAUAUAUUUUCCAAUUCAAGGUGGCAGACUGAACACAUGCAUUGGCCUCCCAUUUCUUCAAAGACCUCAUUGAAUUAAAAGUAUGGAAAUAUAGAAUAGAAUAUCCCCUUUAUAUCUGUAUCUCUCAGAAUUCAGCCAGAAAACGUUGAGCCAAAUAGUUCAAUAGAGAGAACUCACCACGGGGAACUACUUAUGAAGGUGUAGGAACAUGUUUAAAAAAAAACAGAUAAAUUAGCAACAUUGGGUGCUACUAUCAGCACCAGGACUAGAAAGACCAAAGAAGAAGUUUAUUACCCCUGGAGCCCAGGAGCCAGGACUAUGUGGCAGGAGCUGGAACCAUGCGAAAAGGGGCUGCUUGGGGUCAGGACAUAUUGGACAAGAUGGAAAAAUGUAGCCACUUCUAGAGAUAUUGCCCAAGGCAGAAAGAGAAGAGAGAAAUAUCCUGCCUUCUCUCUUCUUCCUCCUCCCCAAUAUCCAUUCUAUCAGUCUCCCGCUGGCUGAACCUAGGUGGAAGCCAGUUGGCAUGGACAUGUCAUUUGCAGGAGUCACUCCCCUGUGAUGGAGAGCAGAGCAGAGGAGUGGUGAAUAAUGGCUGAAAGCAAAGCAAAAAGGCAGCUGCCUGGCACAACAGACAGGAGAGCGUGUGGGUGUGUCUGUGUUACUAAAGGGUGAGAUAUUUAAUAACUUCUGGACUACAAAAUAUAGACAGGGGCCAUUAGAAGAAAAGGGCAGAGAAAUCAUCAGCUUGGAGGAGACUCUGUCAGCUCUGUACGUAGAGGAAGAAAGCUAAUCUGCCCCGUGGAACCCCAGAUGCCUUUGGUACAGAGUCAGCAGACAUAACAGAAGGAGAGAGUGAAAGAUGGAGCUAAAAAGAGAGAGAUUACUUAAAGGUCUGAAUAUGUUCUGAAUUCUUCCAGUCAGCACCCCAUCUCCAACAUGUACACCAUGAGCAGGCGGCCAGCAUUUUACCCCCAGGCAAAACAUGAUUACUCCUCUCUAAAAUUAAACAAACUGGGUAAGAUAACAUUUCUAAAUUUGUUGGUGCCUCAAAGGGAAGCCAUUAUCAUUGGGGCAUUUUGCAAGCACUCAGCCUGACAGCCAGUUCUCACUCCAUUGAUCCUCAAUCAGAGUUCACCAGUCAACACUGCCUGACCCAUCCUAGGAAGAAAUUUCAGAAGGGAAGACACCCAUUAGGAAAACAGUGUUAUUCACACAGAAGCAGAAACAUCUAUUCCAUCUACCCAAGCCUCCUUUUUUAAUGACGGAGAGGAAUCACUAGAAUGUAAGGAGAACUAGCAAUAUAAAAAGAGAAAUACCAAUUCUAUAAAACAGAAAAGCAAAAAAGAACUUUAAAAAUCAUCCUUAUGUCCUCAAAAAGAUUCAAGGAAGCAUUACAUCUAC